UCUCUUUCUACACCUCACACUCCCCUAAGUCUCUCUCUACAGCUCGCCCUCCCCGAUCUUCUCUCUCUUUAUCUAAAGCAAAAGACCGUUACUUCGAGUCAAAAGCCCAAGAGGAUUUUCUUUUCAUAUGAUCAAGGUAUGUCUCCUUUAGAUCCUAUUUCGAAUUUUGGGUUUGAGGGUUUGCAUCCAUGGCAUCUGCAUGAGCAUUUUAGGGUUUUGUUAUUGUGUUGUCUUGUGGGCUUGCUCUCGAUUUCCUUGUUCCAUCCUAUUUAUCCUUCUAUGUGAUUUUCAUGAUUUGGACCUUUGGGGCAGUGAUUUUGGUUUUAUCUCAUAUUAUUUAUACCUUAUUUCUUAAGAUUUGUUCCAAUUUAUGGAUUUAUGCUUCACUCGAUUUUGAUUAGUUUUUUAUUCUAUACCUUACUGUCUCGUCUCAUUGAUCUAUUCUUUUUGCAAGUAUUGUUGUUUCAAUGAGUUUUAGAAAUUCUUCUUUUCUUUUCUUUUUUUAGUGGUACGUUGAGAAAUUUAUGCAUGGUAUUUCAAAUACGAUUUACCCAAAUUCAGGUUGUAAUAGUUUUAAUUUUGGGAAGCAUUAUUCUUGGCACAAUAUAGUUGUCAUUUUGGAGCAUCAAACAAUUUUUCGCUGCUCUUAUCUUGGCUGCAAUUUUAGCCAGCAUUAUUCUUGGCACAAUUUUGGGCAUUACUAAUGACUGUAAUAUGCUUUUAAACUUCACAUUGAUAAUCAUUACUAG
This 749-nucleotide long non-coding RNA is filed under the name Amborella trichopoda. RNAcentral describes it as "long non-coding RNA (ATRI_LNC002122)". Lineage: Eukaryota; Viridiplantae; Streptophyta; Magnoliopsida; Amborellales; Amborellaceae. The record is from RNAcentral.